Molecule: long non-coding RNA, 1180 nt
Organism: Haliaeetus leucocephalus (bald eagle)
Lineage: Eukaryota; Metazoa; Chordata; Aves; Accipitriformes; Accipitridae
Exons: 2
Source: RefSeq, a predicted model, not a curated record
AAGCAGCUGCGGUGCUGUCACCCGGUGAUGGGAGAGGACAGUCUCCCCUUCGGCAGCAGGAUGCUCUGGUUUCAUCAGCCACCUGCUGUCUGUGAGGUCUGAUGGAAGUGACUCAUCUUGAAACCAACCCGCUCAAAACCGGCUCCCAACACCCGAGAUCCUCGUGUCCUGCGCCCCGGCCGUUUCUCCACACACGCACAUGCUGCAGCUGGAGGAAAGGAAAAAAGCGAGACCGAACAGCCAAGGGACACAAGGGAUCGUCAGAGGAAGGGAGGCAGCCAAGGGAAAGGGGAAGACCCUGCAUGGGACUCAAAGGUUUCCACGUCUGCUCCCUCCCGAUGGGGCAGCGGCGAUGCAACGCAGAGCUGUGGAGGGCAUCAGGCUCGGAUGGUGCGGGUGGGCUGAUGGACGACGCAGCUCUUGGGAGGGAAGUGGGGAGGGGGGGAAUUUUGCGCUCAUCACCCCCCCCCAGCGAGGAAGUGGCUUUUCAAGGACAAACACCUGCGACCAGGCAGUGUUUGCAGGAACUUGCCCCUGGGGACCAGCCUUGUCCACAGGGCUCAGUCACCAGAGCAAGAACUUGUUCAGCUAGAGACUAGGUGGGGUGGCAAGGGAUGGGGCAGGAGGGGCGGAGGGUGAGUUUGCAGCUCCCGGGUAAGGCAGCGAGGAGGGGAGCAGGGGGGGGCCCUCUCCAGGAGGGGUGUUUAGCCUAGGUGCUCUAGCGUACCUGGAGUGAGGUUUUCCCAGAGGUUCACAACAGCAUGUGCAGAGUCCAGCUGCACAGCCACCAGUUUAAAAAGAAACAGCAACGACAAAAUAAAUAAAAAGUCAACCCCUCCUAAGAUGAGAAUGAAAUACAUAUUCUUCAGGUCUCGGCCUGGUUCGGAAUCGUCUAAAAACUGAAGCAAACAUUUAAAAGGGCUUAUUAACUUUCUGCAGGGGCCAAAGUGAUGUGGCAAUGAGGCGGGGAGGAGAGAUCACACGCCUGCAGCCCAUCACACUGAGGGUCAGGACAGCACAAAGGCCUCCAUUUAAAGUGCCGACCAUACAAAAGAAGAAGAUGGAGGAGCAACAUCCUUCUCCCCCUUUUUCCAUCGCUAUUUCCAAUUGAAACCCAUUUCCUUCACCAAGUCACAACUAAGCCUAUUCUUUUGGACAUUCACUCAGUUUACACUGUUUU